Molecule: ribosomal RNA, 47 nt
Filed under: Anomoporia bombycina
Lineage: Eukaryota; Fungi; Basidiomycota; Agaricomycetes; Amylocorticiales; Amylocorticiaceae
Description: partial 28S large subunit ribosomal RNA
Source: RNAcentral
UGACCUCAAAUCAGGUAGGAUUACCCGCUGAACUUAAGCAUAUCAAU